ACUCAGCUGCUGAAUCCUCAUAGGACGAAACGCGCGUCCUGGAU
RNAcentral lists this non-coding RNA (44 nucleotides) under Schistosoma mansoni. Lineage: Eukaryota; Metazoa; Platyhelminthes; Trematoda; Strigeidida; Schistosomatidae. The record is from RNAcentral.